GGAGAGUUGGCAGAGCGGUUGAUUGCAGCAGUCUUGAAAACUGUAGGUCAUUAAUAGUGAUCCGAGAGUUCGAACCUCUCACUCUCCUCCA
RNAcentral lists this transfer RNA (91 nucleotides) under Vibrio parahaemolyticus. RNAcentral's name for it is "tRNA-Ser". It matches the Rfam family "tRNA". Rfam says of the family: Transfer RNA (tRNA) molecules are approximately 80 nucleotides in length. Their secondary structure includes four short double-helical elements and three loops (D, anti-codon, and T loops). The record is from RNAcentral. Lineage: Bacteria; Pseudomonadati; Pseudomonadota; Gammaproteobacteria; Vibrionales; Vibrionaceae.